Molecule: ribosomal RNA, 402 nt
Filed under: uncultured bacterium
Lineage: Bacteria
Description: bacterial SSU rRNA
Rfam family: Bacterial small subunit ribosomal RNA
Source: RNAcentral
UCGGGAAUUUUGGGCAAUGGGCGAAAGCCUGACCCAGCAACGCCGCGUGAAGGAUGAAGUAUUUCGGUAUGUAAACUUCGAAAGAAUAGGAAGAAUAAAUGACGGUACUAUUUAUAAGCUCCGGCUAACUACGUGCCAGCAGCCGCGGUAAUACGUAGGGAGCAAGCGUUGUUCGGAUUUACUGGGCGUAAAGGGCGCGUAGGCGGCGCGGUAAGUCACUUGUGAAAUCUCUGAGCUUAACUCAGAACGGCCAAGUGAUACUGCAGUGCUAGAGUGCAGAAAGGGCAAUCGGAAUUCUUGGUGUAGCGGUGAAAUGCGUAGAUAUCAAGAGGAACACCUGAGGCGAAGGCGGGUUGCUAGGCUGACACUGACGCUGAGGCGCGAAAGCCAGGGGAGCAAACG